GGAAUUUUGCGCAAUGGGCGAAAGCCUGACGCAGUAACGCCGUGUGGAGGAUGAAGGCCUUCGGGUUGUAAACUCCUGUCAGGGGGAACGACGAUUAUAAGGCGAAUAGCCUUAUGAGCCAGACGGUACCCCCAAAGGAAGCCCCGGCUAAUGCCGUGCCAGCAGCCGCGGUAAUACGGAAGGGGCCAGCGUUGUUCGGAAUCAUUGGGCGUAGAGGGCGCGUAGGCGGUCUCGUAUGUCUGCUGUGAAAGCGCACGGCUUAACCGUGAAGGGUCGGUGGAAACUGCGAGACUUGAGGCUGGGAGGGGCUGGUGGAAUUCCCCGUGUAGCGGUGAAAUGCGUAGAGAUGGGGGAGAACACUCGUGGCGAAGGCGGCCAGCUAGACCAGUUCUGACACUGAGGCGCGACAGCGUGGGGAGCAAAC
RNAcentral lists this ribosomal RNA (424 nucleotides) under uncultured bacterium. Its description in RNAcentral is "bacterial SSU rRNA". It matches the Rfam family "Bacterial small subunit ribosomal RNA", at positions 358 to 773 of the family's 1533-position model. The record is from RNAcentral.